Molecule: ribosomal RNA, 492 nt
Filed under: uncultured bacterium
Lineage: Bacteria
Description: partial 16S ribosomal RNA
Rfam family: Bacterial small subunit ribosomal RNA
Source: RNAcentral
AGUGAACGCUGGCGGCGUGCCUAAUACAUGCAAGUCGAACGACCGCACAGUAAGCUUUCGCCUCUAACGUUGGCGACUGACGGAUGGGUGACGAAUACAUAGGCUUCCAAUAUUACUUGGAGGACAUCGUAAGGAAACAUCUGCUAACACAGCAUAUGUUCUACCGGAUGAAUCAGUAGAUCUUCGCACUUUGCCUGUCUCUUAUAGCUGAUGUCGGAUUAGCUAGUUGGCGGGGUAAAGGCCCACCAAGGCGACGAUCCGUAGCUGGUCUGAGAGGAUGAUCAGCCACACUGGAACUGAGACACGGUCCAGACUCCUACGGGAGGCAGCAGUGGGGAAUAUUGGGCAAUGGGCGCAAGCCUGAUCCAGCCAUACCGCGUGGGUGAAGAAGGCCUUCGGGUUGUAAAGCCCUUUUGUUGGGAAAGAAAAGCAGCAGGUUAAUACCCCGCUGUUCUGACGGUACCCAAAGAAUAAGCACCGGCUAACUUCGUG